GCCCUGGUAGUCCACACCGUAAACGAUGUCUACUUGGAGGUUGGUGUCUUGAACACUGGCUUUCGGAGCUAACGCGUUAAGUAGACCGCCUGGGGAGUACGGUCGCAAGAUUAAAACUCAAAUGAAUUGACGGGGGCCCGCACAAGCGGUGGAGCAUGUGGUUUAAUUCGAUGCAACGCGAAGAACCUUACCUACUCUUGACAUCCACGGGAUCCUGCAGAGAUGCGGGAGUGCCUUCGGGAACCGUGAGACAGGUGCUGCAUGGCUGUCGUCAGCUCGUGUUGUGAAAUGUUGGGUUAAGUCCCGCAACGAGCGCAACCCUUAUCCUUGUUUGCCAGCACUUCGGGUGGGAACUCCAGGGAGACUGCCGGUGAUAAACCGGAGGAAGGUGGGGACGACGUCAAGCCAUCAUGGCCCUUACGAGUAGGGCUACACGCGUGCUACAAUGGCAUAUACAGAGGGCAGCAAGACCGCGAGGUGGAGCGAAUCCCAGAAAGUAUGUCGUAGUCCGGAUUGGAGUCUGCAACUCGACUCCAUGAAGUCGGAAUCGCUAGUAAUCGUGGAUCAGAAUGCCACGGUGAAUACGUUCCCGGGCCUUGUACACACCGCCCGUCACACCAUGGGAGUGGGCUGCACCAGAAGUAGAUAGCUUAACCUACGGGAG
RNAcentral lists this ribosomal RNA (664 nucleotides) under uncultured Gammaproteobacteria bacterium. RNAcentral describes it as "bacterial SSU rRNA". It matches the Rfam family "Bacterial small subunit ribosomal RNA", at positions 784 to 1448 of the family's 1533-position model. Lineage: Bacteria; Pseudomonadati; Pseudomonadota; Gammaproteobacteria. The record is from RNAcentral.